Molecule: long non-coding RNA, 1646 nt
Organism: Eublepharis macularius
Lineage: Eukaryota; Metazoa; Chordata; Lepidosauria; Squamata; Eublepharidae
Exons: 3
Source: RefSeq, a predicted model, not a curated record
ACAGCGUUUUGAAAUGCAGAAGCCAUCUAAUGAACAUUAUAUGUAGACGUACCCCUUCCAGCAAACUAUGACUAUAACCAAAGCCUCACCUCAGCACUAGUAUAGCUAAUCCUCAAAGAGGCAUUGCAUAUUCAUUAUUUUCCCCAUAUAUAGCUAAUGUGCUUGGUUUAUUCUGUAUUUAAAAUAAGAGGAAAUAAAAAUAGAAUUAGGGAGUAGACCCAAGGCUAUUGGAAAGGGAAAAUGAGCAUCUGUACUAAAGAUGAACAGAUAACUUUGUAUAGCUUUUAUUUCUGUUCCUGAGAUGGCUUCACGAUAGGGAUCUUCCUGGAAGAAUUUACGCCUGUAAUUCUAAAUUAUGUAAAAUUGAGCAGAGGGUAGAUAAGCUAAAUGCACCUUCCUCUUGUGCUACUCCAAACUCAGAAUUACCACUUUUGCCAUUUAUGCCGUUCCUUAAAAAUAUUAUUCUACUCUAUUUGAAACAUUCUGGUGGUGGCUUACUUACAUAUAGGGAAAAUUGUAUGGGGUUAAAGUUUGGGCUUAGGUAAGAGUGUGUGUGUUAUGUGCCAUCAAGUUGCCUCCGAGCUAUGGCAACCCUAUGAAUGAAAGACCUCCAAAAUGUCCUAUCAUUAACAGACUUGCUCAGACCUUGCAAACUGGAGGAUGUCACUUCUUUUAUUGAGUCAAGCCAUCCUGUUUUAGGUCUCCCUCUUUUCCUACUGCCUAUUUUUCCUAGCAUCAUUGAUUUUUCCAGAGAAUCUUAUAAUGUGACCAAAGUACGAUAGCUUCAGAUUUCUCAUUUUAGCUUCUAGGUAGUAUUUAGGCUUGAUUUGAUCUCCCACUUAUUUGUCUUUUUGACUGUCCAUGGAAUCUGCAGAAUUCUCCUCCACAUUUCAAAUGAAUCAAUUUUCUUCCUGUCAGCUUUCUUCACUGUCCAACUUUCACAUCCAUCCAUCGUAAUGGGAAAUACCAUUGUUUGGGUUAUCUUGGAUCCCAGAGACACAUCUUUAAGGAUCUUAUCUAGCUCCCUUACAGCUGCUCUUCCAAGUCUCAAUUUCCUUCUGAUUUCUUCGUUGCUUUUUCAAGGAUUACACCAAAGAGACAGGAUGGCCAGCACUCGAGAUGGGCAUGAACAGGAAAAAAACCCGAACACGACGUUCGUUAUUUGUUGCCAUCCACAAACAGAGAUUCACAAACAUCGACGGACAUGACAUGUUCACGAACAUGUUCAUGGUUGGAGUGGAAAAAACUGGUAUGCUGGAAGCUACUUUGAGGGGUUAUGAGCCAGAAGGAAAGCCAGAAGGAGUUCAGAGUUCAGACCAUCCAUGCCUAUGUUGCCAGGGGAACUGAUUUAAAGGCGCCAUACUGUCUGGCUUUACGAACAGCUGACAAAUGCCAUGAAGGGGGCUUGGAACGAACACGUUUGCUGGGAACAGGGCCUCGCGAACAGCGGAUUGGGCUGUUCGUGGCUUUUUUUUGUUCUAUUGCUGUUCGUACCCAUCUCUAGCCAGCAUUGAUUAAGAGUAAGUAUGUGAAGGCAGAAAAGGCAGUUGCAGGAAGCCUGCCAAAUGAAGCAUGGUGCCCAAAAAGCAGUGUAGACAUAUACUGCUGAUUGCACAAGACAGGUUUGGCAGAAACGUAGUACUGCU